CAUAACAAGUUUUUGUAAAUUCCUGUGUGUUUCUCUGAAAUCCUAACCUCCAAAUUUGAUGAAUACAUUCAACCAAAAUGCAUUACCAAGAAAAAGAGCUGGACACAUUUCCAUCAAGCUACAUGAGAGAUUUCCGUUGGUACAAGAACAGUGUCAAAUCCAAAAUAAUCUAUCCUGUUGAUACAUUUGCAUUACCAGAGGAAGAAAAAGACAAUUACAUACGCAUGAAGAAGG
This is a long non-coding RNA of Nilaparvata lugens (brown planthopper), 234 nucleotides long. RefSeq lists it as uncharacterized. The record is from RefSeq and is a predicted model, not a curated record. Lineage: Eukaryota; Metazoa; Arthropoda; Insecta; Hemiptera; Delphacidae. The transcript has 2 exons.